This 253-nucleotide ribosomal RNA is filed under the name uncultured bacterium. RNAcentral describes it as "partial 16S ribosomal RNA". It matches the Rfam family "Bacterial small subunit ribosomal RNA", at positions 524 to 776 of the family's 1533-position model. The record is from RNAcentral.
UACAGAGGGUGCAAGCGUUAAUCGGAAUUACUGGGCGUAAAGCGCGCGUAGGCGGUUUGUUAAGUUGGAUGUGAAAUCCCCGGGCUCAACCUGGGAACUGCAUCCAAAACUGGCAAGCUAGAGUAUGGUAGAGGGUGGUGGAAUUUCCUGUGUAGCGGUGAAAUGCGUAGAUAUAGGAAGGAACACCAGUGGCGAAGGCGACCACCUGGACUGAUACUGACACUGAGGUGCGAAAGCGUGGGGAGCAAACAGG